GCAGUUUGCACAAGAGUAAAACAACUUGCACAAAAUGGUUCUUAAUCAUAUACACAAUACUUUCUUUUGGUUUUACAAUUAGCCACAGCAUCCACCUCGCUGUGCAACUGUCCCAUCUCUCGCCCCCGAUGGCCCUUGAGGACGCCCAUAACCAACCUUGAUCCCAGAUGACUCGUUGGAUACAUCAAAGACACCUUCUUGAAUAUUUUGAAGUAUUUUAGCUGCAGUCUUUAUGAAU
Molecule: unclassified non-coding RNA, 238 nt
Filed under: Hevea brasiliensis (rubber tree)
Lineage: Eukaryota; Viridiplantae; Streptophyta; Magnoliopsida; Malpighiales; Euphorbiaceae
Source: RNAcentral